This 2342-nucleotide unclassified non-coding RNA is filed under the name uncultured fungus. RNAcentral describes it as "sequence contains 18S rRNA gene, ITS1, 5.8S rRNA gene, ITS2, 28S rRNA gene". The stretch from base 1389 to 2342 matches the Rfam family "Eukaryotic large subunit ribosomal RNA", at positions 1 to 961 of the family's 3401-position model. The record is from RNAcentral. Lineage: Eukaryota; Fungi.
GGAAGGAUCAUUAAUGAAUUUGGAGGCUGUCGCUGGCUAGGUGAUUCUAGCAUGUGCACGUCUACACUUUUAAACCCCACACUUGUGAACCCAUUGUAGAUCGAGUCCAUUGAAAAGUAGUGUCGAACUACCUAAUAGAGGGCUAAUUGGCUUAUCGAAAAGUAAGAAGUUUAUUGAAAAGUAGCAUGAACUACCUAAUAGAAAGUUUAGUACCUAAUAGAGGACUGGUUGGCUUAUUGAAAAGUACCUAAUAGAGGGUCAGUUGGCUUAUCGAAAAGUAAGAGGCUUAUUGAAAAGUAGUGUAAACUACCUAAUAGAAAGCUUAGUACCUAAUAGAGGGCUAGUUGGCUUAUCGAAAAGUACCUAAUAGAGGGUCAGUCGGCUUAUCGAAAAGUAAGAGGCUUAUCGAAAAGUGGUGUCAACUACCUAAUAGAAAACUUAGUACCUAAUAGAGAGCUAAUUGGCUUAUCGAAAAGUGGUGAGAACUACCUAAUAGAGGGCUGAGUUGGCUCAUCGAAACGUAGUUAAUAGAGGGCUGGUUGGCUUAUCGAAAAGUAUGAGGCUUAUUGAAAAGUAGUGUGAACUACCUAAUAGAAAGCUUAGUACCUAAUAGAGGGCUAGUUGGCUUAUCAGUUGGUUGGCUUAUUGAAAAGUAUGAGGCUUAUUGAAAAGUAGUGUAAAACUACCUAAUAGAAAGCUUAGUACCUAAUAGAAGGCUAGUUGACUUAUGUUAGUUGGCUUAUUGAAAAGUACGGGCUUAUUGAAAAGUAGUUUGAACUACCUAAUAGAAAGCUUAGUUACCUAAUAGAGAGCUAGUUGGCUUAUCGAAAAGACUACCUAAUAGAGGGCCCCAGAAGAUCUAUGUUUAAUCUACACAACAUCGUAUGUCCAGAAAUUAUAAAUAAAUUACAACUUUCAGCAAUGGAUCUCUUGGUUCUCGCAUCGAUGAAGAACGCAGCGAAUCGCGAUAAGUAAUGUGAAUUGCAGAUUUUCAGUGAAUCAUCGAAUCUUUGAACGCACCUUGCGCCCCUUGGUAUUCCGAGGGGCAUGCCUGUUUGAGUGUCAUUUUAUCAUCAACUCAUUAGUCUUUGAUUAGGCUUUUGGGCUUGGACUUGGGAAUUGCUGGCUUGAUCUUUUACCCAUUGAACAGUAUCUAAUACUUAAUAGAGGGAAAAAGUGUAGUCGGCUGUCCUUAAAUGCAUUAGCGAGUGUUAGUCUACAUGGCACGGCCUCUUGACGUGAUAAUGAUCGUCGUGGGCUGGAAGUGUAGUGUCUGGCUUCUAAAUCCCGAUUUUGCGUGCAUACGGCCCAUAAAGCUGGAAGCGCAAUCAAAUUCGACUACGUGCAUACGGCCCAUAAAGCUGGAAGCGUAGUCAAAAUGACAAGUUUGACCUCAAAUCAGGUAGGACUACCCGCUGAACUUAAGCAUAUCAAUAAGCGGAGGAAAAGAAACUAACAAGGAUUCCCCUAGUAACUGCGAGUGAAGAGGGAAAAGCUCAAAUUUUGAAUCUGGCGGUCAUUCAGGCCGUCCGAAUUGUAAUCUAGAGAAGUGUCUUCCGCGCUGGCCUGUGUACAAGUCUCCUGGAAGGGAGCAUCAUAGAGGGUGAGAAUCCCGUCUUUGACACAGACUACCAGGGCUAUGUGAUGCACUCUCAACGAGUCGAGUUGUUUGGGAAUGCAGCUCAAAAUGGGUGGUAAAUUCCAUCUAAAGCUAAAUACAGGCGAGAAACCGAUAGUGAACAAGUACCGUGAGGGAAAGAUCAAAAGAACUUUGAAAAGAGAGUUAAACAGUACGUGAAAUUGCUGAAAGGGAAACGCUUGAUGUCAGUCGCGUUGAUUAGGGAUCAACCUUUAAUUUGGUGUACUUCCUAGUCGACGGGUCAGCAUCAGUUUCGGUCAUCGUACAAAGGCAAGGGAAAGUAACUAAUAAUUAUGGACCCUCGUCGGAUGCGCGUGGUCGGGACUGAGGAAACCUCUGCACCUUUUCGUUAGUGUGUUCAGAGAUGCUGGCAUAAUGGCCUUAAGCGACCCGUCUUGAAACACGGACCAAGGAGUCUAACAUGCCUGCGAGUGUUUGGGUUUGCAAACUCGAGCGCGUAAUGAAAGUGAAAGUUGAGACCUCUGUCGUGGAGGGCAUCGACGCCCGGACCUCUUGUCUUUGACGAGGGAUCUGCGGUAGAGCAUGUAUGUUGGGACCCGAAAGAUGGUGAACUAUGCCUGAAUAUGGUGAAGCCAGAGGAAACUCUGGUGGAGGCUCGUAGCGAUUCUGACGUGCAAAUCGAUCGUCGAAUUUGGGUAUAGGGGCGAAAGACUAAUCGAACCAUCUAGUAGCUGGUUCCUGC